RNAcentral lists this ribosomal RNA (332 nucleotides) under marine sediment metagenome. Its description in RNAcentral is "SSU rRNA". It matches the Rfam family "Bacterial small subunit ribosomal RNA", at positions 1203 to 1532 of the family's 1533-position model. The record is from RNAcentral.
UAUGCCCAGGGCCUCACACGUGCUACAAUGGCAUCGACAAAGCGACGCAAGACCGCGAGGUGGAGCAAAUCGCAAAAACGGUGCCUCAGUUCGGAUUGCAGGCUGGCAAUUCGCCUGCAUGAAGUUGGAAUCGCUAGUAAUCGCGUAUCAGCUACGACGUGGUGAAUGUGUUCCUGAGCCUUGUACACACCGCCCGUCAAGUGAUGGGAGUUGGGAGUACCCGAAGUCGGUUUGCUAACCUUAGGGAAGCGACUGCCGACGGUAAGCCCGAUGACUGGCACUAAGUCGUAACAAGGUAGCCGUAGGGGAACCUGCGGCUGGAUCACCUCCUU